UGCGAAGGACCCGAGCGUUAUCCGGAUUUAUUGGGUUUAAAGGGUGCGUAGGCGGAUUUACAAGUCAGUGGUGAAAUCUCCCGGCUUAACUGGGAAACUGCCAUUGAAACUGUUUAUCUUGAGUACAUUUGAGGCGGGCGGAAUGUGUCAUGUAGAGGUGAAAUUCUUAGAUAUGACACAGAACACCAAUUGCGAAGGCAGCUCGCUAAACUGUAACUGACGCUGAGGCACGAAAGCGUGGGGAUCAAACAGG
RNAcentral lists this ribosomal RNA (253 nucleotides) under uncultured bacterium. Its description in RNAcentral is "partial 16S ribosomal RNA". It matches the Rfam family "Bacterial small subunit ribosomal RNA", at positions 524 to 776 of the family's 1533-position model. The record is from RNAcentral.